UGCUGCUGCUGCUGCUGGAGCAUCAUUACUAUGGGAACAGAAAACAGAAACAAUGCUUUGACUUUUGACUUUGAAAUCUGCGGGUGUUAAGAGGCCCUUACGUCAGUGGUGACUGAACAUGACAGCCCCAUGGAUAAGGACUCCAAGCCAAAGGACAGCCCCUACCAAGAGAACCGGCUGCGUUUCCUGCCUACGUCUGAAUAAUGAUUUCAGUGCCUUGCCAAGCUGUGUGUGCGGUACAAACUAUCAUCCCACUCUCCCUCGGGAACCAGGGAAACUGCUGCAGUGUCAUUAAACACCUUUUCUACAGAGAUGUUUGUGUUGGUGUGCACUGUCUCUUGCCAAAUUACCAGUCUGUGUUGCCGGAACACUUCAUUACCACCGUUCCCCA
Mus musculus (house mouse) is the source of this 391-nucleotide long non-coding RNA. RefSeq annotates it as predicted gene, 30397. NCBI's taxonomy places the organism in Eukaryota, Metazoa, Chordata, Mammalia, Rodentia, Muridae. The transcript is spliced from 4 exons. The record is from RefSeq and is a predicted model, not a curated record.